This 274-nucleotide ribosomal RNA is filed under the name uncultured bacterium. Its description in RNAcentral is "partial 16S ribosomal RNA". It matches the Rfam family "Bacterial small subunit ribosomal RNA", at positions 523 to 796 of the family's 1533-position model. The record is from RNAcentral.
AUACGAAGGUCCCAAGCGUUGUUCGGAUUUACUGGGCGUAAAGCGUCUGUAGGCGGCGCGGUAAGUCAGAUGUGAAAUCCCGGGGCUCAACCCCGGAACUGCAUCCGAUACUGCCGUGCUAGAGUAUUGGAGGGGAGUCUGGAAUUCUCGGUGUAGCAGUGAAAUGCGUAGAUAUCGAGAGGAACACUAGUGGCGAAGGCGAGACUCUGGACAAUAACUGACGCUGAGAGACGAAGGCCAGGGUAGCGAAAAGGAUUAGAUACCCUAGUAGUCC